Molecule: long non-coding RNA, 201 nt
Filed under: Mytilus galloprovincialis (Mediterranean mussel)
Lineage: Eukaryota; Metazoa; Mollusca; Bivalvia; Mytilida; Mytilidae
Source: RNAcentral
CUUGUGUACAAUUUGGAAAUUAGUAUGGCGUUCAUUAUCACUGGACUAGUAUAUAUUUGUUUAGGGGCCAGCUGAGGGACGCCUCCGGAUGCGGGAAUUUCUCGCUACAUUGAAGACCUGUUGGUGACCCUCUGCUGUUGUUUUUUAUUUGGUCGGGUUGUUGUCUCUUUGACACAUUCCCCAUUUCCAUUCUCAAUUUUA